RNAcentral lists this ribosomal RNA (247 nucleotides) under uncultured Actinomycetes bacterium. RNAcentral's name for it is "uncultured actinobacterium partial 16S ribosomal RNA". It matches the Rfam family "Bacterial small subunit ribosomal RNA", at positions 28 to 276 of the family's 1533-position model. The record is from RNAcentral. Lineage: Bacteria; Bacillati; Actinomycetota; Actinomycetes.
GACGAACGCUGGCGGCGUGCUUAACACAUGCAAGUCGAGCGGUAAGGCCCUUUCGGGGUACGACGAGCGGCGAACGGGUGAGUAACACGUGGGUGACCUGUCCUCAGCUCUGGGAUAAGCCUGGGAAACCGGGUCUAAUACUGGAUAUGACUCCAUGACGCAUGUUGUGGGGUGGAAAGCCUUGUGCGGCUGAGGAUGGGCCCGCGGCCUAUCAGCUUGUUGGUGGGGUGAUGGCCUACCAAGGCGA